AUUGAACGCUGGCGGCGUGCUUAACACAUGCAAGUCGAGCGGCAGCGCGGGAGCAAUCCUGGCGGCGAGCGGCGAACGGGUGAGUAAUGCUUCGGAAUCUGCCCUUCAGUGGGAAUAACCAGUCGAAAGACUGGCUAAUACCGCAUACGAACUGAGGUUGAAAGCAGGGGAUCGCAAGACCUUGCGCUGAUGGAUGAGCCGAAGUCGGAUUAGCUUGUUGGUGGGGUAAUGGCCUACCAAGGCGACGAUCCGUAGCUGGUCUGAGAGGACGACCAGCCACACUGGGACUGAGACACGGCCCAGACUCCUACGGGAGGCAGCAGUGGGGAAUAUUGGACAAUGGGGGCGACCCUGAUCCAGCGACGCCGCGUGUGUGAAGAAGGCCUGCGGGUUGUAAAGCACUUUUAGUGGGGAGGAAGGUCUGCGACCUAACACGUCGUGGAAUUGACUUAACCCACAGAAAAAGCACCGGCUAACUCUGUG
Molecule: ribosomal RNA, 483 nt
Filed under: uncultured bacterium
Lineage: Bacteria
Description: bacterial SSU rRNA
Rfam family: Bacterial small subunit ribosomal RNA
Source: RNAcentral